ACCAUCACAAAUGCUCAGACAGAGCAGAAGGUUCCCAACAGGCUGCGCCUGCGCUGGACCACCCCCUUUCCUCCUUCCUUCAGCUGCCCCUCUUUCUGGAUGGGUAAAAGCACUUCCAUGUUUUCAGAGGCGUGGAGGGAGCCCGAGAAGAGCAGAUGUUGACACCACCAUCACUGCCUGCAGCAGUGAGACCAGGGGCACAGUUUUUGUUGAAAGGGUCGACCAGGAAGCACUUCCUUGACUCUGUCCUAAAGCCUCUGGAGAGCCCUUAAAUUUGUGGUCCUUGAAGCUAUUGUAAAGGUAUUAUUCAGGAACAAGAUGGGCAAAACAUGAAUAGGACAAGCUUUCUGCUCUCCAGGGACUCCCUUGAAGAUGUGUCACAACCCCAAGCCAGUAUGUGUUAACCUUCAGGAUGACACCACCCUCGACACUCACUUCAUGAUGGCCUGCACAUCUGACCUUGUGCAGGAGCCUGCAGCGUGGGAUUGAGCAGCCUCCUGCUCCAGCCAGCUGACUGCCCCUCAGAGGGGACUGAGGUGACAAAACAGGAUCCCAUCAUUUGGUAAACAGGACUCAAGCAUGAAGUCUGAGGGGUGUGGGGAGGUGCAGGGUGGGUAGCAAAUGGCUGUGAAAAGCAAGAGACUUUCCACGGGCAAAGCUAAGUCUAGAUGUACCCAGAUUAGCGACUUUUCCUUAAAAGGUUUUUCCAGCCAGGAGCAAGGGACUGGGUGAAUCAUCCCUAAGACGGGUGACAGGAGGCAGGAAUAAAGCAUGAAUAAAGCAUCAGGAAGGGACUAGGAUUUAAAACUGGCCCCUCAAUGCUUCUACACUGCUGGUGAGAAUGUAAGUUAGUUCAGCCACUGUGGAAAGCUGUCUGGAGAGUUCUCAAAUAACUUAAACUAGAACUACCAUUUGACCUAGCAAUCCCAUUUACUGGGUAUAUGCCCAAAGGAAUACAAAAUAUUCUACCAUAAAGACACACACAGGCAUAUAUUCAUCACAGCACUGUUUACAAUAGCAAAGACCUAGAUGCCCAUCGAUGGUGGAUUGCAUAAAGAAAAUGUGGUGCAUAUACAACAUGGAAUACUGUGCAGCCACAGAAACGAAUGAAAUCAUGUCCAUUACAGCAACAUGGAUAGAGCUGGAGGCCAUUACCCUAAACAAAUUAACGCAGGAACAGAAAACUAAAUACUGCAUGUUCUUACUUAUAAGUGGGGGCUCAACAUUGAGUAGACAUGGACAUAAAGAUGGGAGCAGAGGACACUGGGGACUCCUGGUGGGGGAGGAUGGGAGGAGGGUGAAGACAGAAAAACUACCUAUUGGGUAUUACGCUGAUUACCUGGGUGACAAAAUUAUUUGUAUACCAAAACCCCAUGAUAUGCAAUUUACUCAUGUAACAAACCUGCACACCUACCCCUUGAACCUAAAAUAAAAGUUGGAAAUAAAAAAAAAACUGGCUCCUCUAUCUGGGCUCCUCUCCCUUCUUAAGUCCUAGGAGAGUUGGCCAA
RNAcentral lists this long non-coding RNA (1508 nucleotides) under Homo sapiens (human). RNAcentral describes it as "HSALNT0035325". Lineage: Eukaryota; Metazoa; Chordata; Mammalia; Primates; Hominidae. The record is from RNAcentral.